RNAcentral lists this ribosomal RNA (763 nucleotides) under uncultured Streptococcus sp. RNAcentral describes it as "bacterial SSU rRNA". It matches the Rfam family "Bacterial small subunit ribosomal RNA", at positions 28 to 776 of the family's 1533-position model. The record is from RNAcentral. Lineage: Bacteria; Bacillati; Bacillota; Bacilli; Lactobacillales; Streptococcaceae.
GACGAACGCUGGCGGCGUGCCUAAUACAUGCAAGUAGAACGCUGAAGGAGGAGCUUGCUUCUCCGGAUGAGUUGCGAACGGGUGAGUAACGCGUAGGUAACCUGCCUGGUAGCGGGGGAUAACUAUUGGAAACGAUAGCUAAUACCGCAUAACAGUAGAUAUUGCAUGAUAUCUGCUUGAAAGGUGCAAUUGCAUCACUACCAGAUGGACCUGCGUUGUAUUAGCUAGUUGGUGAGGUAACGGCUCACCAAGGCGACGAUACAUAGCCGACCUGAGAGGGUGAUCGGCCACACUGGGACUGAGACACGGCCCAGACUCCUACGGGAGGCAGCAGUAGGGAAUCUUCGGCAAUGGACGGAAGUCUGACCGAGCAACGCCGCGUGAGUGAAGAAGGUUUUCGGAUCGUAAAGCUCUGUUGUAAGAGAAGAACGAGUGUGAGAGUGGAAAGUUCACACUGUGACGGUAUCUUACCAGAAAGGGACGGCUAACUACGUGCCAGCAGCCGCGGUAAUACGUAGGUCCCGAGCGUUGUCCGGAUUUAUUGGGCGUAAAGCGAGCGCAGGCGGUUAGAUAAGUCUGAAGUUAAAGGCUGUGGCUUAACCAUAGUACGCUUUGGAAACUGUUUAACUUGAGUGCAAGAGGGGAGAGUGGAAUUCCAUGUGUAGCGGUGAAAUGCGUAGAUAUAUGGAGGAACACCGGUGGCGAAAGCGGCUCUCUGGUCUGUAACUGACGCUGAGGCUCGAAAGCGUGGGGAGCAAACAGG